AUUGAACGCUGGCGGCAGGCCUAACACAUGCAAGUCGAGCGAGCGGCGGACGGGUGAGUAAUGUAUGGGGAUCUGCCCGAUGGCGGGGGAUAACUACUGGAAACGGUAGCUAAUACCGCAUACUAUCAGAUGAACCCAUAUGGGAUUAGCUAGGUGGUGGGGUAAAGGCUCACCUAGGCGACGAUCCCUAUCUGGUCUGAGAGGAUGACCAGCCACACUGGAACUGAGACACGGCCCAGACUGCUACGGUAGGCAGCAGGGGGGAAGAUUGCACUAUUGGCGCAAGCCUGAUGCAGCCAUGCCGCGUGUAUGAAGAAGGCCUUAGGGUUGUAAAGUACUUUCAGCGGGGAGGCGUUACCCGCAGAAGAAGCACCGGCUAACUCCGUGCCAGCCGCCGCGGUAAUAC
This 406-nucleotide ribosomal RNA is filed under the name uncultured bacterium. RNAcentral describes it as "partial 16S ribosomal RNA". It matches the Rfam family "Bacterial small subunit ribosomal RNA", at positions 30 to 526 of the family's 1533-position model. The record is from RNAcentral.